RNAcentral lists this long non-coding RNA (250 nucleotides) under Homo sapiens (human). RNAcentral describes it as "HSALNT0107844". The record is from RNAcentral. Lineage: Eukaryota; Metazoa; Chordata; Mammalia; Primates; Hominidae.
AUUGUUGAUGACUGGUUAAGUCUUGUGAAAAUUAAGUUUCGUGAAGAACCUGGUUGUUGUAUUGCUGUUCAUUGCGUUGCAGGCCUUGGGAGGCUCCAGUACUUGUUGCCCUAGCAUUAAUUGAAGGUGGAAUGAAAUACGAAGAUGCAGUACAAUUCAUAAGACAAAGCGGCGUGGAGCUUUUAACAGCAAGCAACUUCUGUAUUUGGAGAAGUAUCGUCCUAAAAUGCGGCUGCGUUUCAAAGAUUCC